Molecule: small nucleolar RNA, 161 nt
Filed under: Cladophialophora psammophila CBS 110553
Lineage: Eukaryota; Fungi; Ascomycota; Eurotiomycetes; Chaetothyriales; Herpotrichiellaceae
Source: RNAcentral
UGUCGGGUUGAUAACUAGGCGGCGGUUUCAAAACAUUGCAUCCACGACCUUUGCCCUUUAAGUGCCCGAAAGAUUGACUUUUCUUUUCUGCGACUGAGUCUUACACAUUUGCCUUCUCAUUUCAUCCAUGUUUGUUUAAUGUUUAUUCAGUCGCAACAACC